CCUACGGGAGGCAGCAGUCGGGAAUAUUGCGCAAUGGAGGAAACUCUGACGCAGUGACGCCGCGUAUAGGAAGAAGGUUUUCGGAUUGUAAACUAUUGUCGUUAGGGAAGAGAAAGGACGGUACCUAAGGAGGAAGCCCCGGCUAACUAUGUGCCAGCAGCCGCGGUAAU
This 170-nucleotide ribosomal RNA is filed under the name uncultured bacterium. RNAcentral's name for it is "partial 16S ribosomal RNA". It matches the Rfam family "Bacterial small subunit ribosomal RNA", at positions 338 to 524 of the family's 1533-position model. The record is from RNAcentral.